This is a non-coding RNA of Ictidomys tridecemlineatus (thirteen-lined ground squirrel), 104 nucleotides long. Lineage: Eukaryota; Metazoa; Chordata; Mammalia; Rodentia; Sciuridae. The record is from Rfam.
GUCCUUUUUGGCUCAUAAGUGAGAUGAUUGAGUGCUCCUGCCAUUAUGUGAGACAGGCCUCCCUCCAAACCUUGGGACCACAUUGGCGUGUCACUCAUCUCAUG